Molecule: non-coding RNA, 160 nt
Filed under: marine eukaryotic metagenome
Description: FMN riboswitch (RFN element)
Rfam family: FMN riboswitch aptamer (RFN element)
About the family: The RFN element is a highly conserved domain that is found frequently in the 5'-untranslated regions of prokaryotic mRNAs that encode for flavin mononucleotide (FMN) biosynthesis and transport proteins. This element is a metabolite-dependent riboswitch that directly binds FMN in the absence of proteins. In Bacillus subtilis, the riboswitch most likely controls gene expression by causing premature transcription termination within the 5' untranslated region of the ribDEAHT operon and precluding access to the ribosome-binding site of ypaA mRNA.
Source: RNAcentral
UGUUCUCGGGGCGGGGCGAGAUUCCCCACCGGCGGUAAUUUGCGGUGCAGCGUUGUUAGCUGUCUCCACAAAAAGCCCGCGAGCGCCUGACUACCAAUCAGGAUUAGCAGAUUCGGUUUAAAUCCGAAGCCGACGGUUACAGUCCGGAUGAUAGAGAAUG